Molecule: long non-coding RNA, 312 nt
Organism: Oncorhynchus tshawytscha (Chinook salmon)
Lineage: Eukaryota; Metazoa; Chordata; Actinopteri; Salmoniformes; Salmonidae
Source: Ensembl
GUAGUGUUCCAGUCAGUCACAGGGAGGUUCUAGUGUUGUAGUCAGUCACAGGGAGGUUCUAGUGUUCUAGUCAGUCACAGGGAGGUUGUAGUGUUCCAGUCAGUCACAGGGAGGUUGUAGUGUUGUAGUCAGUCACAGGGAGGUUGUAGUGUUGUAGUCAGUCACAGGGAGGUUGUAGUGUUGUAGUCAGUCACAGGGAGGUUGUAGUGUUGUAGUCAGUCACAGGGAGGUUGUAGUGUUGUAGUCAGUCACAGGGAGGUUAAUGUGUUCUAGUCAGUCACAGGGAGGUUGUAGUGUUCUAGUCAGUCACAG